This is a non-coding RNA of Drosophila virilis, 1534 nucleotides long. The record is from RefSeq and is a predicted model, not a curated record. NCBI's taxonomy places the organism in Eukaryota, Metazoa, Arthropoda, Insecta, Diptera, Drosophilidae.
UUUGGCAGCCUAGACCUGUUAUCGCCUGCAACUCAUCUCGUUUAAUGUGUUUAUUUUAAUUUUCAAUGUUUGCCCGACGGCGUUUUAUUGCUUUCAAUUUUUGCGCAUGUUUUACGAGCGCAUUAACAUUAAGACAAACCAGCCGAUGCGAAGCCAAAAGAAUAUAAACUCAAUUAGAUAAAAGACUCCGAGUUGGCCAUUGAUGGCGCUGUAAAAUUCACUUGGCUACACACACACACACAUACGCACGCACGCACGCACGCACACACACACGCGUGCAAACAGAGGAACUGACGCACCCACGAAGAUACUCGAAAUUUUUUGGAAGCGUGUUAAUUUGUUUUUAAUUCUUAAGGCCUUAAGGCCAACGGAGAAAGUUGAGCAUUUGGCUAUAAAUUAACAUUUAGUUACGCUACAUAAAAACCUGUCUAAAACAAGCAGAAAGUGCAUGAGUGCGCUCGAGCGUGUGUGUGUGUGUGACGAACUUUGAACUCAAGGAGCAGCACACAUAGCAUCACUUUACAUCUGUUAACCAGAAAUAUAAGUUUGGCUUGGUAAUGUGUGCGAUAUACUUAUUCAGUUCAGCGAUAAGAAAGCAUAAACUUAGCUCUAAUACAUUAGCAAUGCGUAGACUGUCAGUGGCAUCAUUAGUUUUAUUUAAUUAUGCCUGCGAUAUUGAUUGCUUUGUUAAAGCAUAUUAAACCCCUUCACAGUACGAACCACUUAUGAAAAGUUCAAUUAUAUACGUAUAUCCCAAUAUUGUUGUGUUCCACCAACUGUGAUUCGGCAUCGACAUCGACCGCAAACCCAAUAAUUUAUUUGAUAAUGAAUAAUGAUGUUGAUUUGACACUCUCCAGACACGGCUCAACAUCAAAUGGAAAUCGUCACGCUUCUAAGCAACCGAUGCCGAUUCCCAAUUUCGAGCCCAAUCUAUUAGCAAUCACUGAGCAGGGAGCUCUCUACCCCCCCAUCAUCAUCAUCAUCAUUUGGAACUGUUUGCUGCGUAGGCAGCUCAUCUCGCUACUUGGCUAUUGAAAUUGUGCUUGGAGUGAUUCAUUUAAUGGAGCAUGAAAUCUGUAACAUUCUCUAAACAAUUUCACAGCACUGCAAAGUGGCCGCUAAUGAUGACUCUAAUUAGCUCUUAUGAGGUGUGUGGUCAAUAACAACCGUGACAAAGGUCCAUUCUUUGAGUUGAGAAUAAAUCCUGAAUGAUUUACAGAGAUUAAUUCAUAGCGGGGAAGAGGGAUAGCGAAAGUAUUGAUUGUAUAAAGCAUUUGUAUAAUUGUAUUAGCAGUUUUAAUUAGUAUUAGUAAUAUAAUUAGAGCAAUUGUAAAUGUUUCUCUCUAUCUUGUAUCUGAAUAGUAUUCACUUUUAGAGUAUUAUGGAUGCAGAGGAAAGUAUGAAUAUUGUAAUUAGAUAAUUUGUAAAUUCUCUGUCUAGCUUCUUGUAUCUGAAUAGUAUUAAUUUUCUUAGAUAGUGCGAGUAUUUGCAGUGGUAGUAAAAAGAUAUAAUUAGAGAAUUUGUAAUCAUAUAA